Molecule: ribosomal RNA, 497 nt
Filed under: uncultured bacterium
Lineage: Bacteria
Description: partial 16S ribosomal RNA
Rfam family: Bacterial small subunit ribosomal RNA
Source: RNAcentral
GAUGAACGCUGGCGGCGUGCCUAAUACAUGCAAGUCGAGCGAACAGACGAGGAGCUUGCUCCUCUGACGUUAGCGGCGGACGGGUGAGUAACACGUGGAUAACCUACCUAUAAGACUGGGAUAACUUCGGGAAACCGGAGCUAAUACCGGAUAAUAUAUUGAACCGCAUGGUUCAAUAGUGAAAGACGGUUUUGCUGUCACUUAUAGAUGGAUCCGCGCCGCAUUAGCUAGUUGGUAAGGUAACGGCUUACCAAGGCGACGAUGCGUAGCCGACCUGAGAGGGUGAUCGGCCACACUGGAACUGAGACACGGUCCAGACUCCUACGGGAGGCAGCAGUAGGGAAUCUUCCGCAAUGGGCGAAAGCCUGACGGAGCAACGCCGCGUGAGUGACGAAGGUCUUCGGAUCGUAAAACUCUGUUAUUAGGGAAGAACAAAUGUGUAAGUAACUAUGCACGUCUUGACGGUACCUAAUCAGAAAGCCACGGCUAACUACGUG